UACGUAGGGUGCGAGCGUUGUCCGGAAUUAUUGGGCGUAAAGAGCUCGUAGGCGGUCUGUCGCGUCGAUCGUGAAAACUUGGGGCUUAACCCUGAGCUUGCGGUCGAUACGGGCAUGACUGGAGUUCGGCAGGGGAGACUGGAAUUCCUGGUGUAGCGGUGAAAUGCGCAGAUAUCAGGAGGAACGCCGGUGGCGAAGGCGGGUCUCUGGGCCGAUACUGACGCUGAGGAGCGAAAGCGUGGGGAGCGAACAGG
This 254-nucleotide ribosomal RNA is filed under the name uncultured bacterium. Its description in RNAcentral is "partial 16S ribosomal RNA". It matches the Rfam family "Bacterial small subunit ribosomal RNA", at positions 524 to 776 of the family's 1533-position model. The record is from RNAcentral.